GACGAACGCUGGCGGCGUGCCUAAUACAUGCAAGUCGAACGCUUCUUUCCUCCCGAGUGCUUGCACUCAAUUGGAAAGAGGAGUGGCGGACGGGUGAGUAACACGUGGGUAACCUACCAUCAGAGGGGGAUAACACUUGGAAAAAGGUGCUAAUACCGCAUAACCGUUUAUGCCGCAUGGCAUAAGAGUGAAAGGCGCUUUCGGGUGUCGCUGAUGGAUGGACCCGCGGUGCAUUAGCUAGUUGGGGAGGUAACGGCUCACCAAGGCCACGAUGCAUAGCCGACCUGAGAGGGUGAUCGGCCACACUGGGACGUAGACACGGCCCAGACUCCUACGGGAGGCAGCAGUAGGGAAUCUUCGGCAAUGGACGAAAGUCUGACCGAGCAACGCCGCGUGAGUGAAGAAGGUUUUCGGAUCGUAAAACUCUGUUGUUAGAGAAGAACAAGGACGUUAGUAACUGAACGUCCCCUGACGGUAUCUAACCAGAAAGCCACGGCUAACUACGUG
Molecule: ribosomal RNA, 507 nt
Filed under: uncultured bacterium
Lineage: Bacteria
Description: partial 16S ribosomal RNA
Rfam family: Bacterial small subunit ribosomal RNA
Source: RNAcentral